Molecule: long non-coding RNA, 1267 nt
Organism: Betta splendens (Siamese fighting fish)
Lineage: Eukaryota; Metazoa; Chordata; Actinopteri; Anabantiformes; Osphronemidae
Exons: 2
Source: RefSeq, a predicted model, not a curated record
AUACUGCAUUUAAUCAUUGAAACAUACUUUGCUGAAGCCUUGUUAGCUGUGCUAUAGCCUUGAAGUUUUCUCCCUUCUGCUCUGCAAGAAAUAGGGAGUACCAGUGUGUAGCAUCCUUAUCUGAUGAGCCCAAUGCUUGCGUUGUGCAGAGAAUAUUUCCUACGUACUGUGUGACUAUGCACCUCCCAGAAUGCAAUACAUAUUAUGAGCUGAAUCCCUGUCUUCUCUUCAGUGAGAGGAAGUUGCCUUUGCUGUAAACUGCUCACUCCUUGCAAGUAAAAUCCUGAAGAAGGUCUCAACUGAUUGUGUCUGCUUUAUUUAAGAUUUACAAAGGGAACUAACAAUUUCCCUAACAUAAUUGGGGGCUCGUCCGGGAUCCCAAGAUCCUCUCUUUGCCGGGACAUUGAGUCGGCGACUGAAGUCUGUGCACAGCCAGGUUUGGAACCUGCAGAAAAUCCUGGGAGGUGAAUUCCUGCCCAGGUCAGACGUCGGCUGGUGGUCCAACGAGGCGAGGUGACGGGAUCCUGAACCAGGGCCAGGACACAGAUCAGGCGAGUAUGAAAAGAGUAAAUCCUAAGGUAUCUUAAAUUCCGUGAUUGGCUCACAAGGUAAAAGAAGACUGGGUCUUCAGAAAGUUCCGUGACGAGGUCACGAGGUAAAAGAGGACGGGGUCCUCGUAAAAUAGAUUAAUGAUAGUUUGUCUGAUUGAAGCAGCGGCAGAGUGGAAACCUGACGGUGUCAACGUAAACUCUGUGAUCAGUUGAAGUAAAUCAGACUAUAUGAAUAAGUGUUAUUGUUUGUCGGUCUCUAAGUGAAUUUUAACUUCUUAGAGGAAGUCUCAGAGACUUUUUGUGUUGUGUGUCUGAUUGAGAUCAAAAUUGAGAGGUUGGUUUACUGAGACAGCUGUGUCCGCAGGAAACUAGUUCCUGUAGAAGCUUGACACAGUCGAUGCUCUCUGUCAACACUGUGACUGAUCGUUGAUCUCAAUCCUCGUAGUGAAGCAAAUUAAAGAACACUAAGGGUGAAAACCUUGAAGGUGAUUCCAAAUACAUGUCUAAAAGACAUUCUCAGUCGACUAUAAUAAUAUAUACAUAACUUACCAUAGUGGAAAAAGAAAUUUGGAUUUGAUGGAAAUUUAAAAAAGUAGAAUUGUGUAAAAAAAUUGAUGGAUAAAAUAACUGUGUUAACUGAAACUGUUUAAAGAAAAAGAUGGAGAAUAUAAUUCAAGGGACCAGUUAAAAAUUCAUGCUAUAUGCACAACAAGAUU